AGAGUUUGAUCAUGGCUCAGAUUGAACGCUGGCGGCAUGCUUUACACAUGCAAGUCGAGCGGCAGCGCGGGGGCAACCCUGGCGGCGAGCGGCGAACGGGUGAGUAACACAUCGGAACGUGUCCCGUAGUGGGGGAUAGCCCGGCGAAAGCCGGAUUAAUACCGCAUAUGCUCUACGGAGGAAAGCGGGGGAUUCGCAAGAACCUCGCGCUAUGGGAGCGGCCGAUGUCCGAUUAGCUUGUUGGUGAGGUAAAGGCUCACCAAGGCGACGAUCGGUAGCUGGUCUGAGAGGAUGAUCAGCCACACUGGGACUGAGACACGGCCCAGACUCCUACGGGAGGCAGCAGUGGGGAAUUUUGGACAAUGGGGGCAACCCUGAUCCAGCCAUGCCGCGUGAGUGAAGAAGGCCUUCGGGUUGUAAAACUCUUUUGGCCGGAAAGAAAAGAUCUCGUCUAAUAAACGAGGUUCUUGACGGUACCGGCAGAAUAAGCACCGGCUAACUACGUGCCAGCAGCCGCGGUAAUACGUAGGGUGCGAGCGUUAAUCGGAAUUACUGGGCGUAAAGAGUGCGUAGGCGGUUCUUUGUGUCCGCUGUGAAAUCCCCGGGCUUAACCUGGGAAUGGCAGUGGAAACUAGAGGACUUGAAUCCGGCAGAGGGGGGUGGAAUGCCACGUGUAGCAGUGAAAUGCGUAGAUAUGUGGCGGAACACCGAUGGCGAANNNNNNCCCCUGGGCUGAGAUUGACGCUCAGGCACGAAAGCGUGGGGAGCAAACAGGAUUAGAUACCCUAGUAGUCC
RNAcentral lists this ribosomal RNA (795 nucleotides) under uncultured bacterium. RNAcentral describes it as "bacterial SSU rRNA". It matches the Rfam family "Bacterial small subunit ribosomal RNA", at positions 8 to 796 of the family's 1533-position model. The record is from RNAcentral.